CGUGAACUCAGGUCUUUGGGCAGCAGCAGUAACUCGAAGUUGCACAGCUUCCCGAGCAAAAGACCAAAGCCAAGCUCCACAGAGGGUGGCAGACCCUCCAUCACACUGAUCCACCCACAGAAUUCUGCCCAGUUACCGUUGAUCCACCAGCCACAACAAGCCUCGCGGUACACAGCAACAUUACAUCUGGAAUUCCAUCCGGUUUUCUGAGGCCUCAUCCUGUCUUUGGAAUUAACAGACCACUCUUAGGAAUGUGUCCUGUGCCAAGGUCUGGACGUCAGGAAACUUGGACCCGUUCCUGGAGCAGAGAAUCGAGUAACUUUCUCAAGGGCACGUUGACUCUCUGUAUGUUUCUGCGAGUAUCAGCGAGGUUCAGUAGGUAUCAUGAAUGUCUUUGGAGCCUUGUAUGCUCUAGAGAUGUCUCCAUGCCGAUAUUCUGCACUGUAGCAGAACAACUUUCAUCAAUGUGUUCGCACAUCUCCUCAA
Camelus dromedarius (Arabian camel) is the source of this 486-nucleotide long non-coding RNA. RefSeq lists it as uncharacterized. The transcript has 3 exons. The record is from RefSeq and is a predicted model, not a curated record. Lineage: Eukaryota; Metazoa; Chordata; Mammalia; Artiodactyla; Camelidae.